AUUGAACGCUGGCGGAAUGCUUUACACAUGCAAGUCGAACGGCAGCACGGACUUCGGUCUGGUGGCGAGUGGCGAACGGGUGAGUAAUAUACCGGAACGUGCCCAGUCGUGGGGGAUAACGUAGUGAAAAUUACGCUAAUACCGCAUACGAUCUAUGGAUGAAAGCGGGGGACCUUUGGGCCUCGCGCGAUUGGAGCGGCCGAUAUCGGAUUAGGUAGUUGGUGGGGUAAAGGCUCACCAAGCCAACGAUCUGUAGCUGGUCUGAGAGGACGACCAGCCACACUGGGACUGAGACACGGCCCAGACUCCUACGGGAGGCAGCAGUGGGGAAUUUUGGACAAUGGACGCAAGUCUGAUCCAGCCAUUCCGCGUGCAGGACGAAGGCCUUCGGGUUGUAAACUGCUUUUGUACAGAACGAAAAGGUUUCUACUAAUACUAGGAGCUCAUGACGGUACUGUAAGAAUAAGCACCGGCUAACUACGUGCCAGCAGCCGCAGUAA
This 500-nucleotide ribosomal RNA is filed under the name uncultured bacterium. RNAcentral describes it as "partial 16S ribosomal RNA". It matches the Rfam family "Bacterial small subunit ribosomal RNA", at positions 30 to 523 of the family's 1533-position model. The record is from RNAcentral.